RNAcentral lists this transfer RNA (72 nucleotides) under Stegodyphus mimosarum. It matches the Rfam family "tRNA". Rfam says of the family: Transfer RNA (tRNA) molecules are approximately 80 nucleotides in length. Lineage: Eukaryota; Metazoa; Arthropoda; Arachnida; Araneae; Eresidae. The record is from Rfam by way of RNAcentral.
GCCUUCGUGUGUAGUGGUCAGCACACUUGUCGCGUAACCUAGAGGUCCGUGGUUCGAUUCUCGGCGAAGGCG